CAGUCGCCACGGUAAUACGAAGGGUGCAAGCGUUAAUCGGAAUUACUGGGCGUAAAGCGCGCGUAGGUGGUUUGUUAAGUUGGACGUGAAAUCCCCGGGCUCAACCUGGGAACUGCAUCCAAAACUGGCAGGCUAGAGUAGGGCAGAGGGUGGUGGAAUUUCCUGUGUAGCGGUGAAAUGCGUAGAUAUAGGAAGGAACACCAGUGGCGAAGGCGACCACCUGGGCUCAUACUGACACUGAGGUGCGAAAGCGUGGGGAGCAAACAGGAUUAGAUACCCCGGUAGUCCCUGUCUCUUAUAC
This 301-nucleotide ribosomal RNA is filed under the name uncultured bacterium. RNAcentral describes it as "partial 16S ribosomal RNA". It matches the Rfam family "Bacterial small subunit ribosomal RNA", at positions 509 to 807 of the family's 1533-position model. The record is from RNAcentral.